This 407-nucleotide ribosomal RNA is filed under the name uncultured bacterium. RNAcentral's name for it is "partial 16S ribosomal RNA". It matches the Rfam family "Bacterial small subunit ribosomal RNA", at positions 28 to 526 of the family's 1533-position model. The record is from RNAcentral.
GACGAACGCUGGCGGCGUGCCUAAUACAUGCAAGUAGAACGCAGUUGCGAACGGGUGAGUAACGCGUAGGUAACUUCCUCAUAGCGGGGGAUAACUAUUUGAAACGAUAGCUAAUACCGCCUACUUUGCUAUGGACCUGCGUUGUAUUAGCUCGUUGGUGAGGUAAAGGCUCACCAAGGCGACGAUACAUAGCCGACCUGAGAGGGUGAGCGGCCAAACUGGGACGGAGAAACGGCCCAGACUACUACGGGAGGCAGCAGUAGGGAAUCUUAGGAAAUGGACGGAAGUCUGACCGAGCAACGCCGCGUGAGUGAAGAAGGUUUUAGGAUCGUAAAGCUCUGUUGUUAGAGAAGCGGUAACUAAACAGAAAGGGACGGCUAACUACGUGCCAGCAGCCGCGGUAAUUC